RNAcentral lists this ribosomal RNA (164 nucleotides) under Caragana acanthophylla. RNAcentral's name for it is "partial 28S ribosomal RNA". It matches the Rfam family "Eukaryotic large subunit ribosomal RNA", at positions 1 to 166 of the family's 3401-position model. The record is from RNAcentral. Lineage: Eukaryota; Viridiplantae; Streptophyta; Magnoliopsida; Fabales; Fabaceae.
AGACCUCAGGUCAGGCGGGGCUACCCGCUGAGUUUAAGCAUAUCAAUAAGCGGAGGAAAAGAAACUAACAAGGAUUCCCUUAGUAACGGCGAGCGAACCGGGAAGAGCCCACCAUGAGAAUCGGUCGCCCUAGGCGUUCGAAUUGUAGUUAAAAAAAAGCGUCA